This 363-nucleotide ribosomal RNA is filed under the name Triticum aestivum (bread wheat). RNAcentral's name for it is "partial small subunit ribosomal RNA". Lineage: Eukaryota; Viridiplantae; Streptophyta; Magnoliopsida; Poales; Poaceae. The record is from RNAcentral.
UUCUUGACAUCAUGCUCAAGUGCACUUGAAGCGGAGAUGCAUGCAUGCAUGGAAGGGAUUGACCUUGCCUUGGAGUGGAGUAACUUGCCGUUCAUCAUAGAGACGGACAGUCUCGUUGUAGCAAACAUGCUGAAGGAAGAAGAACAAAACAGAUCGCCUGUUAUUGCACUAGUAGGUGAGGCAAAACGGCUUCUAGCUCUAGGGCGUGAGCACGUCAUAUCUCAUGUACGUAGAAGUCAAAACGUUGUUAGCCACACCCUAGCCCAAUUGGGACGUUCUACACCUAAAACGGCUGUUUGGCUGCGCCAUGGACCAGUUGAGAUUGGCACACUUUGCCAACUGGAUUGUAGUAACCCUCCUUGA